CUAAUUUAUAUUUAAGUUUUCAUUAUGGUAACCUAUUAUCAAGAUACUGGCUCAUGCAAUCGAGUAGGGCAAUUGGUUUCAGAUGAUAGGAAAAGGUUCUAAUGAAUUUUCAAAAGGCAAAUCAAACCCCAAAACAUUUGUUAAAUGAAGCCCAGAACAUCUGUUAAAUGAAUUUAUGGCAGGCUCACAACUAGUAGCACUCCAUCACCUCAAUAGGAACAAGUUUAUCUU
Molecule: long non-coding RNA, 231 nt
Filed under: Elaeis guineensis (African oil palm)
Lineage: Eukaryota; Viridiplantae; Streptophyta; Magnoliopsida; Arecales; Arecaceae
Description: long non-coding RNA (EGUI_LNC080520)
Source: RNAcentral